GACGAACGCUGGCGGCGUGCUUAACACAUGCAAGUCGAACGGAAAGGCCCUGCUUUUGUGGGGUGCUCGAGUGGCGAACGGGUGAGUAACACGUGAGUAACCUGCCCUUGACUUUGGGAUAACUUCAGGAAACUGGGGCUAAUACCGGAUAGGAGCUCCUGCUGCAUGGUGGGGGUUGGAAAGUUUCGGCGGUUGGGGAUGGACUCGCGGCUUAUCAGCUUGUUGGUGGGGUAGUGGCUUACCAAGGCUUUGACGGGUAGCCGGCCUGAGAGGGUGACCGGCCACAUUGGGACUGAGAUACGGCCCAGACUCCUACGGGAGGCAGCAGUGGGGAAUAUUGCACAAUGGGCGGAAGCCUGAUGCAGCAACGCCGCGUGCGGGAUGACGGCCUUCGGGCUGUAAACCGCUUUCGCCUGUGACGAAGCGUGAGUGACGGUAAUGGGUAAAGAAGCACCGGCUAACUACGUA
RNAcentral lists this ribosomal RNA (468 nucleotides) under uncultured bacterium. RNAcentral's name for it is "partial 16S ribosomal RNA". It matches the Rfam family "Bacterial small subunit ribosomal RNA", at positions 28 to 507 of the family's 1533-position model. The record is from RNAcentral.